RNAcentral lists this long non-coding RNA (1215 nucleotides) under Bos indicus x Bos taurus (hybrid cattle). Its description in RNAcentral is "lncRNA (ENSBIXG00005025005.1)". Lineage: Eukaryota; Metazoa; Chordata; Mammalia; Artiodactyla; Bovidae. The record is from RNAcentral.
AUGGCUCUAAGCUUUCCUGACCUCAUAGCUGUGUUGCUGUGGGGCCCAUCAGUGAAGCUGCCAGAUGCAAAGGAGACCUGCCUAGAUAAUCCCCGGACAAAACAGACUCAGGAAAUGAAGAGAGGCUGCCCGGAUGGAUCCAGUAGGUCACAUUUCUGCAAUCUCUUUUGGACCAUGGAGUCUUCAACUUAUGCAGUAUAUUGUGAGACCAGCAUUCCAUGGAACACUUCGGUCAAGGCUACUGUGUGAAAUAAAACAGACAAAGGACUUAGAACAGGGCAUACAGCCCUGUGUAUGCCCUUGGUGCCUUACUAGUUGGGAAGUGCUAAUGCAACAGCACACCUUCUCUUCUGGCUGUCUUAGCAUCCCAUGCCGUCCGUAAGUCAACCAGCCUAGACCAAAGGCAUAGUUCGUUGAUGGAACAUUAUAAGAAAGGAGCCCAAAGAAUGUUUCCUUUUUCUUUGUCUUUAGUCCUUCCCUUAAAAAUGGCAUUUCAAGAGCUCUAGAACCUCAGUGUGGAGGGAGGUGGCAAUGUCCCUGAGAUACGAUAAAAAUGCAUAGGGAAUUCUUGGAGGUAGAUUGUGGCACCUGAAUUGUGUGGUUCCUAUAUUAACUAUAUUCUCUUCCUAUAUGUAGAGAAUCUAGAAAAAUGGUGCAGAUGAACCUAUUUGUAGGGCAGAAAUAGAGAUGCAGACAUAGAGAACUGAAGUGUGGACAUCGGGAGGGGCAGGGAGCGGGGGGUGAACCGGGAGGACAGGAUUGGCAUAUAUACACACACUACCAUGUGUAAAAUUGACAGCUAGCAGGAACUUGCUGCAGUACAGGGAGCUCGGCUUGGUGCUCUGUGCUGACCUAGAGGGCUGGGAUGCGGAAGGGUGGGAGGGAAGCUUAAGAGGGAGGGGUUAUAUGUAUACAUAUAGCUGAUUCAUCUCAUUGUAUAGUAGAAAGUAACACGACAUUGUAAGGCAACUCUACCCCAAUUAAAAAAUAACAAAUGUACCCGUAUUGGUUCCUUACCUUGUGAUAAAGGUACCAAAGUUGAGUUAGGUGUUAACAGUAGGGAAAACUGGUGAGGGGGACAUAGAGAAUGCUCUGUAUUAUCUUUUCAAAUUUCCUGCAAGUCUAAAAUGAUUCUAAAAUGUAAAAUGUAAUAUAAAAGCAUUUGUGUGCAUUGGUAUCAAUAAAAAAAGGCACCAAAUAGAGACCCUCUAAGAA